GACGUGCUAAUCUGCGAUAAGCGUCGGUAAGGUGAUAUGAACCGUUAUAACCGGCGAUUUCCGAAUGGGGAAACCCAGUGUGAUUCGUCACACUAUCAUUAACUGAAUCCAUAGGUUAAUGAGGCGAACCGGGGGAACUGAAACAUCUAAGUACCCCGAGGAAAAGAAAUCAACCGAGAUUCCCCCAGUAGCGGCGAGCGAACGGGGAGCAGCCCAGAGCCUGAAUCAGUGUGUGUGUUAGUGGAAGCGUCUGGAAAGGCGUGCGAUACAGGGUGACAGCCCCGUACACAAAAAUGCACAUACUGUGAGCUCGAUGAGUAGGGCGGGACACGUGGUAUCCUGUCUGAAUAUGGGGGGACCAUCCUCCAAGGCUAAAUACUCCUGACUGACCGAUAGUGAACCAGUACCGUGAGGGAAAGGCGAAAAGAACCCCGGCGAGGGGAGUGAAAAAGAACCUGAAACCGUGUACGUACAAGCAGUGGGAGCACGCUUAGGCGUGUGACUGCGUACCUUUUGUAUAAUGGGUCAGCGACUUAUAUUCUGUAGCAAGGUUAACCGAAUAGGGGAGCCGAAGGGAAAACGAGUCUUAACUGGGCGUUAAGUUGCAGGGUAUAGACCCGAAACCCGGUGAUCUAGCCAUGGGCAGGUUGAAGGUUGGGUAACACUAACUGGAGGACCGAACCGACUAAUGUUGAAAAAUUAGCGGAUGACUUGUGGCUGGGGGUGAAAGGCCAAUCAAACCGGGAGAUAGCUGGUUCUCCCCGAAAGCUAUUUAGGUAGCGCCUCGUGAAUUCAUCUCCGGGGGUAGAGCACUGUUUCGGCAAGGGGGUCAUCCCGACUUACCAACCCGAUGCAAACUGCGAAUACCGGAGAAUGUUAUCACGGGAGACACACGGCGGGUGCUAACGUCCGUCGUGAAGAGGGAAACAACCCAGACCGCCAGCUAAGGUCCCAAAGUCAUGGUUAAGUGGGAAACGAUGUGGGAAGGCCCAGACAGCCAGGAUGUUGGCUUAGAAGCAGCCAUCAUUUAAAGAAAGCGUAAUAGCUCACUGGUCGAGUCGGCCUGCGCGGAAGAUGUAACGGGGCUAAACCAUGCACCGAAGCUGCGGCAGCGACGCUUAUGCGUUGUUGGGUAGGGGAGCGUUCUGUAAGCCUGUGAAGGUGUGCUGUGAGGUAUGCUGGAGGUAUCAGAAGUGCGAAUGCUGACAUAAGUAACGAUAAAGCGGGUGAAAAGCCCGCUCGCCGGAAGACCAAGGGUUCCUGUCCAACGUUAAUCGGGGCAGGGUGAGUCGACCCCUAAGGCGAGGCCGAAAGGCGUAGUCGAUGGGAAACAGGUUAAUAUUCCUGUACUUGGUGUUACUGCGAAGGGGGGACGGAGAAGGCUAUGUUGGCCGGGCGACGGUUGUCCCGGUUUAAGCGUGUAGGCUGGUUUUCCAGGCAAAUCCGGAAAA
Molecule: ribosomal RNA, 1451 nt
Filed under: Escherichia coli
Lineage: Bacteria; Pseudomonadati; Pseudomonadota; Gammaproteobacteria; Enterobacterales; Enterobacteriaceae
Description: partial 23S ribosomal RNA
Rfam family: Bacterial large subunit ribosomal RNA
Source: RNAcentral